Long non-coding RNA from Phascolarctos cinereus (koala), 1771 nucleotides. Lineage: Eukaryota; Metazoa; Chordata; Mammalia; Diprotodontia; Phascolarctidae. The record is from Ensembl.
GAUGGAUUGGGGGGAAGGGAGAAGCAGACGGAGUGACUGGAAACAUUUUUUUCCCCCUGUUAAAAGAACUCUGCCUGGAAAUUAACAUGCAAGAAAUUCAGGAUGAUUUAUACACACCUAAGACAUCAUCAUUUAUGUAAAUGGCUCUUCCCAGUCCUCUUAGGCACAAUUACUCCCGAAAGUUGCUUAUUUUCAAAGAAAGGAAUGCGGCAGGACCAUCUGAUGGUCUCGCCUUGAGACUGCUCUGCAAUAAUAUUAAGGAAAAAUCAACCACGCCUCUUAGGAAAAGGGAAUCUAGGCUCUGGCCCUGGACCCAAGUUAAGGAUCCAGUUUUCUCUGGUACAGAGUUUCCUUUCAGUCCGUCAGAGGCUAUCCUCCCCAAAGGAAUCCAACAAAGGGUGUUUUUGAGGAGCAUUGUGGGAAUUUCCUAAGACAUGGGCUGGACGGCAGUGACAUUAAGUUCUCUGUCUCUGCCUGAGAGGCGCAGCUCUCAGUAAUUCUGAGUAACCAGGGAAGACGCAGCUGAACCAAAGCUGGAGAGUGUUUUACAUAGUCCUAUAGGAGAAGAAAAGAACGAUAUUUUUCCGAGCUUUUCUGGAGCAAAGGAUGCUUGAGGGAGUGAAAGAGGGAUUAUGAGAGAGGAGGAACCUGUUCACACCCAGUGACUUCCCAACAUCGCUAGCAGGAACACUCAUCAGGCAGCCAAGGUGAAAACACAGAGGCUCUAAAAUGUCUACACACAACAAGGCCAAAGUUUUCUUAAUAUCUUUGAGUAUGGUCGCUUUUGUGGUUAUGGUGGUGAUGAAUGGUGCGGCAGGUUCUGGAGCAUUCAAAGGUAUAUUCCAGAGAACUGUUGGAAACAUCUCCAACAAGUAUAACACUGACUUGACCCCAGCUGGCUGGACCUUCUUCAUUUGGAAUGUCAUCUAUUUGUGGCAGUUAGCUUGGCUUGGCUAUGCUCUAUCUGGAAUCUGCAGAAGGAAUGAACUUGGAUGGUUCUACGCGAAACCAGAUGUCUUGCCAAUUCUGUUUUACGUGGUGUGGAUCCUGAAUAACGCCUUGAAUGUUGGGUGGCUGUUUCUAUGGGACAAAGAGUUCUACCUGGAAAACUUCCUCCUGGAUAAAUAUGUGCAUUACAUCCUCACUGUAUACCCGGUGGUCAUGGUCGCAUUGUCUGGCAAUAUUGCUCAGCACUAUAAUACAUCUGCUCCAAGCAGAAACAACAUCUUCGCAGUUGUCCUGAUGGUUGCGACAAGUGUGAUGUUUUUGGUUCGGCUUGGCCUGGUUACCUGCAGGCAUCGCUAUCAGCCGCUUACUGUGAGUGAGUCAUUGUUUUCAGAGCCGGUAAAGCUAGGAAAGAACCUCAGAGAUGCUGAAGAUGACCUUAGGAAAAGAAGCUACAGAUCUCAGGAGAUGGAGCCAGAACACCUUGCUGUGAAGUCAUUCUAAUUAUGGGCAAGACCAUUGAGCAUCAGGGCUUUGCCUCAUGCCAAAACAGCUGUGGAAUAUGGAUGAAUGAAACGCAUUUAUUCAGCAUUUACUAAGUGCUAACCAUUAGGUUAAUUGUUAGGGAUACAAAUACAGAAGUGAGACCUCAUCUUUGUCUUCAAAGGGCUUUUUAGGGGAAAACAAAGCAUAUGGUGGCCUAGGAAUAAUAUUUUGGCCUGGGAAGUAGCAGGAAUGGCAUAUGGAGCCCUAGAGGAAUCAAAUAAUUACUUUUUUUUAAAAAAUUUCUCUUAAAAUAAAUAAACGUUUAUUUUCCUUUUUCCCA